CACCAAGAAUCACCGGAACGAACGUUUUAAAAAAAAUUUAAACUUACCGGGCACAAGUCGUGGUAAUUUAACCGCCAGAUACCACUAUAGUCGGGCUACAUACUUACGACCCACAAUGCAUCGAGCUACGGCAUGUGCCUUUCUGUGUCGGCCAUUUUGUAGUUUCCUUGAGAAAUUGUGUUGAGUUGAUUCAUCUUCUUGGUAAGAAUUUUAUACAAUUCUACAACGGCGCGACUCACAUUGAUCCAAAUGAUGUAGAGGAUUGAGGGCAGAUGCUUAUGGCUAACUAUUCAUAGCUUGAGAACGAGGAAUAAGGUUGAGUUUUUUGCGCACAACCGUGUGCGCUCACGGUACUUACACCCGAAGAACGAGACAGUAAACGAAGCUGCGGAGAACACCUAUUGAUAAAGGCACAUGGAAUCCGGGAUUGUUUCGGGAUGAAUGGUGAUUUCGAUUAUCAUUCAGUUCAGUCAGUUCCUUCAGAAACGAUGGAUCGAGAUUCCACUAUAAUAUAUAUUGAUUGUCUGAGGUUUCAACAUAAAGGGUACGUGUACAUGAAUGGGGACAUUGGGAAGCUCCCACCAGGGGCGGUGUAUCCAGCCACCCCUGAACCAUUGGGUUCUGUUGGGGGUGCAAUUGGAAAUACUGCAUCCAAUUUGGAAUAUAACAUCAUGAACGGCGUUCCAAGUGGAAAUGAAUUGAUUUUGGAGGCGAGCGUUGGUAGUCUAGAGCCUUCGCCGCAGCAUGCUAUAGGUAUAGGAGGUGCUGCAGGUUAUGGUCCAGUGGAUGUUGCUGCUUUAGGUGAUGUGCCAAAUCAACCUGCACCAAUGGCUGAUUUAUCAACUCCUGGUAUACCUUUGGAACAACUUAAACAGAUGCUCUCUUCGCAACUUGAAUAUUAUUUCUCCAGAGAAAAUUUAGCUAACGAUACAUAUUUAUUAUCACAAAUGGAUAAUGAUCAAUAUGUACCAAUAUGGACAGUAGCAAAUUUUAAUCAAGUCAAAAAAUUAACGAAGGAUAUAAAACUUAUAACGGAGGUUUUGAGAGAAUCUCCGAAUGUGCAAGUUGAUGAAGAAGGGCAAAAAGUAAGACCUAAUCAUAAACGAUGCAUUGUGAUUCUUCGUGAAAUACCAGAUAAUACGCCACUAGAAGAUGUAAAGAAUUUAUUCUCUGGAGAAGGAUGUCCAAGGUUUAUUUCAUGUGAAUUUGCCCAUAAUAGUUCUUGGUAUGUAACAUUUGAAUCUGACGAAGAUGCUCAAAAGGCCUAUAGGUUUUUACGUGAAGAAGUUCGGGAAUUUCAGGGAAAGCCAAUAAUGGCAAGAAUUAAAGCUAAACCAAUGAAUAGGCUACCAAUACCAGCAGUUGCUGGUGUAAGUGGUAUUAAAAAUGGUUAUAGAACACCACCGCCUCCGCCUGUCUAUGAUCCAAAUAGUUAUACAGCUGGACAGCAACGGUUCCUUUAUACAAAUGGUACUACUAUGCCACAAACUACUAUGCCGCCAUAUGCCAAUCAGGUUCAUGUAUUUCAUCAGCCAUUUUAUCCUGCUGGAAUGAUGCCUUGGGGACCUGCAAGUCCUGCUUAUUUUGAUAUGUCAAGUGUUUUCACAAUGAACGGUAUUACACCACACAACACGUUUAAACCACACAAUACGAGAUACAAUCCACGUCACAGAAAUAAACAAAGAAAUGGACCCGAAAGACCAGGAUUGAUGGAUAGCGGAGGCAACAUGGUACCGAUGGGGCGUACCUCUCAUCCGCCUAUAAGCGGAGCACCAAUAUCUUUAGGAGCAACAGUUCCGACUUUUACUUCGAGCUUACCUACGGUGAAGCCAACUUCUUCUUCCUAUCAAACCGGCACAAAGUUCCAUUCCUCACAUACAACCGUAGCACCUGGAGAGGCCCAGUACAAUAGCAGCCACUCUAAAGGAUCCCAGGAAAAUGACGCUCAAACUCUGGAUUCUGGAGUUCAAUUUCCGCGUCAUCGUAUGCACCGUAGGAUCAAAGAUCAAGAGUCAUUGUCAAAGGCUAACAAUAGCCCUUUACCAUCAAUCAGAGAGUCUACCCCGGCCAGUAAUAAUAACACACAAUGUAACCGAGGGGCACAAUUCGAUUUGGAAGCUUCUGCUUUCCCUCCUCUUCCUGGCCUAGAUGCAGAUAUUGCAAAAUCCCAUAAUGCUUCGGUAGAGACUGUUGGUACCGAUUGUACGCAAUCGCAGAAUAGGCUUUCAGACGUAGUUAAAGGUACCGCAAAAUUGAAAAGCGUUAAAGAUAAAGAAUCUGCAGGAACAUCGCAACAAUAUCAUCAACAACCAACAAGUAACAGCAGUAGGUCUGCGAGUCCAGGAUCAAGUGCUGGUGGUCAUGCUGGUUCGUUAGAGGCUCCAACUGGUUCUGGCAGUACAUCAGCUACUCCCGUUGCAUCUACAAAUGUCAGCUCUAAUGCUUCUGUUAGCAACAAUGACUCCACAGACAUCGCUCUCAGCACCAUCACCCUCACUCCCCCGUCAUCUCCUGAUAAGUUUAGUCCUUUAUUAUUGAAAUGCACCGCUGACAGAUCUGUAAAGACUGACGAUUCAAACAUGGUGAAUGGAGUGGACGAGGCUGUUUCAAAUGCACACACAGCGGAAGAUUCUGAACAAGUAUCUAGGUGUGAAUGUAAUUCCUCUACUGCCUCACAAAAUUCCCAGUCACAAGCGGGAGUGACUUCUACUUUUCCUGUAGAUCUUCUGAAGCCGAGCUAUGCCCAAGUAGCACAGCACUGUCGUGAACUACCUUGUACAAAGCAUAAAACAGAUGAAAGGGAUGGAAAUGUGUAAAUCAAUAUAUACUACCACAAUGAAUUUCAAUAUUUAGCUGUUAUUCUUCAUCUGGAUUAUAUGGAUUAUGUACCACUGCUUUUAUCCUGCACUGGAUAUAGUGGGUAUGAAGAAAACUUUUUACAUUGUACAGUGACUUCGCCUACAAUGAAUGUGGUAUCAAUUAACUAUGAAUCAUAAAGAAUUGUUUGAAGAAACUCUAAUUCGCUGCAUAUUUAAAAAAAUAUGUUUGCUGGCAGGAUAAUACAUUGUGUAGAAGAGUAUUGUUAUUGCUUUGGUUCUGUGAUUUUGGAGCACAGGGCCGUAACUGGGAAAUGUUUAUCUUUGUGCCAAAACCUUGCUAUGCGCGUACAGCUUAAUGAAUGUUCAGAAUGCAACGAAAUUUAUUCUCAAACAGAAUUCUGAUUUAUUCAAUUGAAAAAGAGAAUGUAAUUUUUAAAGCAGAUAAAUGUUAAGAAUAUUUAUUAAAAGGAAAAAAAAAA
This 3298-nucleotide unclassified non-coding RNA is filed under the name Megachile rotundata (alfalfa leafcutting bee). RNAcentral describes it as "la-related protein CG11505, transcript variant X11". The record is from RNAcentral. Lineage: Eukaryota; Metazoa; Arthropoda; Insecta; Hymenoptera; Megachilidae.